This 555-nucleotide ribosomal RNA is filed under the name Salmonella enterica subsp. enterica serovar Infantis. Its description in RNAcentral is "partial 16S ribosomal RNA". It matches the Rfam family "Bacterial small subunit ribosomal RNA", at positions 960 to 1515 of the family's 1533-position model. The record is from RNAcentral. Lineage: Bacteria; Pseudomonadati; Pseudomonadota; Gammaproteobacteria; Enterobacterales; Enterobacteriaceae. RNAcentral also lists the same sequence under 1 other name.
CGCGAAGAACCUUACCUGGUCUUGACAUCCACAGAAGAAUCCAGAGAUGGAUUUGUGCCUUCGGGAACUGUGAGACAGGUGCUGCAUGGCUGUCGUCAGCUCGUGUUGUGAAAUGUUGGGUUAAGUCCCGCAACGAGCGCAACCCUUAUCCUUUGUUGCCAGCGGUCCGGCCGGGAACUCAAAGGAGACUGCCAGUGAUAAACUGGAGGAAGGUGGGGAUGACGUCAAGUCAUCAUGGCCCUUACGACCAGGGCUACACACGUGCUACAAUGGCGCAUACAAAGAGAAGCGACCUCGCGAGAGCAAGCGGACCUCAUAAAGUGCGUCGUAGUCCGGAUUGGAGUCUGCAACUCGACUCCAUGAAGUCGGAAUCGCUAGUAAUCGUGGAUCAGAAUGCCACGGUGAAUACGUUCCCGGGCCUUGUACACACCGCCCGUCACACCAUGGGAGUGGGUUGCAAAAGAAGUAGGUAGCUUAACCUUCGGGAGGGCGCUUACCACUUUGUGAUUCAUGACUGGGGUGAAGUCGUAACAAGGUAACCGUAGGGGAACCUGC